This 400-nucleotide ribosomal RNA is filed under the name uncultured bacterium. RNAcentral describes it as "bacterial SSU rRNA". It matches the Rfam family "Bacterial small subunit ribosomal RNA", at positions 355 to 769 of the family's 1533-position model. The record is from RNAcentral.
UGGGGAAUAUUGCACAAUGGGGGAAACCCUGAUGCAGCAACGCCGCGUGAAGGAUGAAGGUUUUCGGAUUGUAAACUUCUUUUGUACGGGACGAAACAAAUGACGGUACCGUAAGAAUAAGCCACGGCUAACUACGUGCCAGCAGCCGCGGUAAUACGUAGGUGGCAAGCGUUAUCCGGAUUUACUGGGUGUAAAGGGCGAGUAGGCGGGACUGCAAGUCAGAUGUGAAAACUAUGGGCUUAACCCAUAGACUGCAUUUGAAACUGUGGUUCUUGAGUGAUGGAGAGGCAGGCGGAAUUCCCGGUGUAGCGGUGGAAUGCGUAGAUAUCGGGAGGAACACCAGUGGCGAAGGCGGCCUGCUGGACAUUAACUGACGCUGAGGCGCGAAAGUGUGGGGAGC